RNAcentral lists this long non-coding RNA (823 nucleotides) under Sorghum bicolor (sorghum). RNAcentral describes it as "long non-coding RNA (SBIC_LNC015487)". The record is from RNAcentral. Lineage: Eukaryota; Viridiplantae; Streptophyta; Magnoliopsida; Poales; Poaceae.
GCUCUGACAGUAUAUAUAUUUGUAUAUUUGUAGCUUCAGCUGAUGAAAUAAACAAAAUGCCUAGCUAAUAUAUGAGAUCUCCUAAUAUAUAGUUCAAAGGACAUAGAAUCUCAGAGAUGAUGAAAGCAAAUAAAAAUAUAAAAUAGGUAAAAUCGAGAAGCCAAUGACAUCGACCAUUUCGGUGUCAGGAGCCGAAUAUACGAACAGGAACACAGAUUGGCAAGUUAUUGUUUUUUUUUUCUUUUUAACAACAGAUCAGAGCAUCUCUGAACUGUUGGGCGGCCAAAAUCUAAGUGCAAACUUUUUGAAACGACGUUAUUGUCGCAUCCAAUGAUAUGGUAUCUCCGUCUGCUACUUGUCUGGAAACAAUGGAUUAUCAUAAUCAAAACAAUGUCAUUGUCUUGCCGUUAUUUACUCAAACAUAAAGUUCUAUGUUGGUUCAAUUAGUUUACAUACUAUUGAAUCAUCACCUGAUCGAUCAAAUUAAAGGACUGUGUCAACACAUGUACGCUGGCUAGUUAAAUCCAGAGAAAUCAGGCCGGACAAUACACGAACUUGAUGUUUGCCAGAUUUUGUGUUAGUGCGAGCAUACAGUAUCGGAAAUGGCCAGCCAUGCAGGCAAGAUCUAGAAUCUAUCUAUUUCAGCAGGCCAAAUGGAAUGUUCCUUCUAAAUAUCAUGCAUAGAUCAAACUAACCAAAAGGUGUCAGUUAGCUAGAUCAUGAUAUUAUUAUAUUAGUAUUAUUAUUCUAUUUCUGAUUCAACGAAUUAUCCUUAUCAACUAUUGAACAAUGUUUUUCUCUCACAACAAAUUAGCGAACAGUG